RNAcentral lists this ribosomal RNA (441 nucleotides) under uncultured bacterium. RNAcentral's name for it is "partial 16S ribosomal RNA". It matches the Rfam family "Bacterial small subunit ribosomal RNA", at positions 338 to 795 of the family's 1533-position model. The record is from RNAcentral.
CCUACGGGCGACAGCAGUGGGGAAUAUUGCACAAUGGGGGAAACCCUGAUGCAGCGACGCCGCGUGAGUGAAGAAGUAUUUCGGUAUGUAAAGCUCUAUCAGCAGGGAAGAAGAAAGACGGUACCUGACUAAGAAGCCCCGGCUAACUACGUGCCAGCAGCCGCGGUAAUACGUAGGGGGCAAGCGUUAUCCGGUUUUACUGGGUGUAAGGGGAGCGUAGACGGCUGUGCAAGUCUGAAGUGAAAGCCCAGGGCUCAACCCUGGGACUGCGUUGGAAACUGUGGAGCUAGAGUACUGGAGGGGUAAGUGGAAUUCCUAGUGUAGCGGUGAAAUGCGUAGAUAUUAGGAGGAACACCAGUGGCGAAGGCGGCUUACUGGACAGUAACUGACGUUGAGGCUCGAAGGCGUGGGGAGCAAACAGGAUUAGAUACCCUUGUAGUC